CAGGUGCAAAGGGAUUCUGCAGAGGGAGUGAGGGCAGGCUCAUAUGCAACACUGUGAUUAGAAAAGAUGUAAGGCACCUGAGCUAAGUUGUCAGCACACCCCCCAAAGCAAGGACUGUUAGAAAUCCGGACUCUUGAUCAGAUCUGAGUUUAUCAUUAAUGUGUCACUUGAAUUGAGCUUUAGAAUCUUGAAAAUCGUGUUCCUUACUCAGCAG
This 214-nucleotide long non-coding RNA is filed under the name Homo sapiens (human). RNAcentral's name for it is "lncAB87.1". The record is from RNAcentral. Lineage: Eukaryota; Metazoa; Chordata; Mammalia; Primates; Hominidae.